ACUUCAUGGUAAUCACUGUUAAUACUUGGGAGUAAAUAUUUCCAGUUUCCCCUAGAUAUGUCAUUGGUUUUCUUGGCCUGUGGUUAGCAAUUCUGGCUCUGCUUUUGUCUCGAUAUUAUGUUGUUGCCAUACACCUCCGUACAAGCAUAGUCCAGGUAAACUCUCCUCCUCAACCCAGCGCAAACCCUUCAAACACAGCAGUGGAUUCCAAGUCUCAGGACUCCUUGGAAACUACAGAUGGAAAGACUUCUCCACAGACCCUUGCUUGUCUGUGGUCUCUAAAAUCCAUUGCCAAGAUGGGUGAAAGUUUUCCUUUGCUCCCUGUUCUGCUUGUCUUACCUGAGGCGAUGCCGCAUGUGAUAGCACAGGAUGAAUGUUUCUGAACACAAAACGUUUCCCAGCAGCGCUCCGUGGAGCAUCAAUCCCCCAGCGAGCUCAGAAAACAAGGGACAUGUGGGUUUCUGUUACUUCUAAAAGACUCAGAGGGAAAGUUCUAAAAUUGGACCAAUGGGACGUUUUUAGCUCUUACCAGGCAGAUUUUUCCACAGAGCUUGAGAAAGUUCCUGUAGUUCCAGUGCUGCGAUCUCAAGAUCCCAGGCUCGUUGCCAGGUGAUUCCUAUGCUGGCUGUUAGUUAAACACAGUCCAGGUAAAAUGAAAUUUUGUUCAAGGGACACUGCUUUCUAUUUUACAAGGAUGCUAGUAAAUGGCCACUCCUUCUUCCAUAUUUAUGUGAGUCAUGUCUGUCAUGUAA
RNAcentral lists this long non-coding RNA (752 nucleotides) under Homo sapiens (human). Its description in RNAcentral is "HSALNT0121433". The record is from RNAcentral. Lineage: Eukaryota; Metazoa; Chordata; Mammalia; Primates; Hominidae.